CAAACUGGGAUUAGAUACCCCACUAUGCUUAGCCCUAAACUAAAACAAUCAAAUAACAAGACUGUUCGCCAGAGAACUACUAGCAAUAGCUUAAAACUCAAAGGACUUGGCGGUGCUUUAUAUCCAUCUAGAGGAGCCUGUUCU
This 144-nucleotide ribosomal RNA is filed under the name Crocidura russula (white-toothed shrew). RNAcentral describes it as "partial 12S ribosomal RNA". Lineage: Eukaryota; Metazoa; Chordata; Mammalia; Eulipotyphla; Soricidae. The record is from RNAcentral.